RNAcentral lists this transfer RNA (76 nucleotides) under Phyllobacteriaceae bacterium. RNAcentral's name for it is "tRNA-Val". It matches the Rfam family "tRNA". From Rfam's summary of the family: Transfer RNA (tRNA) molecules are approximately 80 nucleotides in length. Their secondary structure includes four short double-helical elements and three loops (D, anti-codon, and T loops). Lineage: Bacteria; Pseudomonadati; Pseudomonadota; Alphaproteobacteria; Hyphomicrobiales; Phyllobacteriaceae. RNAcentral also lists the same sequence under 10 other names. The record is from RNAcentral.
GGGCGAUUAGCUCAGUUGGUAGAGCACUGUGUUCACAUCGCAGGGGUCACUGGUUCGAGUCCAGUAUCGCCCACCA